RNAcentral lists this long non-coding RNA (397 nucleotides) under Zonotrichia albicollis (white-throated sparrow). RNAcentral's name for it is "lncRNA (ENSZALG00000005704.1)". The record is from RNAcentral. Lineage: Eukaryota; Metazoa; Chordata; Aves; Passeriformes; Passerellidae.
ACUUUCUAUUUUAAUCUUCUCUUUUUUAAAUUUCUUUUUGCAAGUAGGUUCUGUGUUCGACACCUUCCUGAGAAAAACAGGAUUUCUGCAUGGAAGGAGGAUGAGUACUCAGACACACACCUGAAUUCUGCAGCAGCAGGAGCUUCUGGGCACAUUAGUCUAGAUUUAGACCUUGAUUUAUCCCAAGGAGGAGAUGCCCAGGAAAUUCUUCCUAGACCCUCCUGAUAUUUGUGGCUUUUCAGAGCUAAGGAGAAGUGAAUGUGUCUUUAUGGGCCAAAAGUCAGUCUCUACCCUGCAAAAAUACAGGCAUUUCCUUGUGAUUCAACAUUCAGGACUGGUCAGUGUAAAGCAAAUAAAUGACACUCAUGGAUGCUGGAUCGUGUGUCACCUUGUCUGA